GCGACAGUGCAGCUUAUAACCCUCGGCUGGACUUCCGUUCCGUCUCUUGAGUGAUGUCGUUCGCUGCGUUAACGAGCCUUUUACAAUUCAGGUCUGAGCGUCUUUCCAGAUGCACAGCGUGGGACUUUGUGUCUACAUGCGGCAGGCUGGCUGAUGUAAGUGGAGCAGCUGGCCUGCGCUGUGGCAGCCGCAUGUGAACAGAGACCAGUCUGGUGGAAUCCUGACAUGGUGGAGGACAAGUUCCUGUCUCUGUCCACCCAGUUGGACCAGACAGGCCUGCUGAUGGUUGACUGUACGCUGCCGUGGAGCAACCGGUCUCAUUUGUGUCCCAAGGAAAUGUAUGUUUUGUUGUGAUCAGUUCAUCAAUUCUGCAUAAUCGAUCUGGAUGUUUGUCUUAAAUGACCAUGUUUCAAUAAAAAUUCUUACUUUUAAAAAAAA
Long non-coding RNA from Gasterosteus aculeatus aculeatus (three-spined stickleback), 438 nucleotides. NCBI's taxonomy places the organism in Eukaryota, Metazoa, Chordata, Actinopteri, Perciformes, Gasterosteidae. The record is from Ensembl.